RNAcentral lists this ribosomal RNA (253 nucleotides) under uncultured bacterium. Its description in RNAcentral is "partial 16S ribosomal RNA". It matches the Rfam family "Bacterial small subunit ribosomal RNA", at positions 524 to 776 of the family's 1533-position model. The record is from RNAcentral.
UACGUAGGUGGCAAGCGUUGUCCGGAUUUACUGGGCGUAAAGAGCGCGCAGGCGGUCGAUCAAGUCGCGUGUGAAAGCCCCCGGCUCAACUGGGGAGGGUCACGCGAUACUGAUCGACUCGAAGGCAGGAGAGGGUAGUGGAAUUCCCGGUGUAGUGGUGAAAUGCGUAGAUAUCAAGUGGAACACCAGUGGCGAAGGCGAGUCUCUGGACAUUUCCUGACGCUGAGGCACGAAAGCCAGGGGAGCAAACGAG